UUUGUUCGUAGAGACAUUUUAUAGGUGGUGAUAAAGAGCAUACUUAAACAAUAGAAUAUCUUUUACGCACUUUUAGUGGUAGAACAUAUUGUUUUUUUUUUUUUUGAUCAAAGUGGUAGAACAUAUUGUAAAAUCAUAUAUUAAUCUUAAUAAUACGAUGACUUGACGGAUGUGUUGCAUCUAAAAUAUUUUGUGAAUAAGUUGUGCAAUCAUAUUUUAGCUGAGUGUGUGAAAUAACGUUUUUCA
RNAcentral lists this long non-coding RNA (246 nucleotides) under Capsella rubella. RNAcentral's name for it is "long non-coding RNA (CRUB_LNC000912)". Lineage: Eukaryota; Viridiplantae; Streptophyta; Magnoliopsida; Brassicales; Brassicaceae. The record is from RNAcentral.